Molecule: long non-coding RNA, 364 nt
Filed under: Elaeis guineensis (African oil palm)
Lineage: Eukaryota; Viridiplantae; Streptophyta; Magnoliopsida; Arecales; Arecaceae
Description: long non-coding RNA (EGUI_LNC078438)
Source: RNAcentral
GAUCAGCACGAAUGCAAUUACUAGAGGUAUAGCAAUAGCAAGGACCACACCAAUGACAUUUUUGUUCUUUCCUGCAUUGAUAAAUGACCACUUUCAUCUGCAUUUCCAAAUCAACAUGACAUAUUGAUGAUAACAAGACGUGGAGCUGUUGGUUAAGACAUACAUCGCAUUAGUGCAGCUUUGUUGUAUGUUACAAAUGUUUGUGGCAUCUAUGGAAAUUGAGGUCAGUCAUAUUGUGGGAAAGCUUUUAUUAAUAUUUACUCUAUAAACCCUAUGAUUCUUGUCUGUUAGGCAUUGACUAAAGCGUAUCAGGUAAAUGGAUGGAGUUUGGAUCCUUCGUGGUGAAUGUUUGACACACCACAGA